This 325-nucleotide ribosomal RNA is filed under the name uncultured Nitrospirota bacterium. RNAcentral describes it as "bacterial SSU rRNA". It matches the Rfam family "Bacterial small subunit ribosomal RNA", at positions 29 to 351 of the family's 1533-position model. The record is from RNAcentral. Lineage: Bacteria; Pseudomonadati; Nitrospirota.
AGCGAACGCUGGCGGCGUGCUUAACACAUGCAAGUCGAACGGCCUUCGGGUAGCAAUACUUGAGGGUAGUGGCGAACGGGUGAGUAACACGUGGGUAAUCUCCCCCCGAGUGAGGGAGUAAGCUUGCGAAAGCGGGUCUAAUACCGCAUGAAACUCCGGGCGUCGGUCUUCGGAGUCAAAGCCGUAAGGCGCUUGGGGAUGAGCCUGCGUCCUAUUAGCUAGUUGGUAGGGUAAUGGCCUACCAAGGCUGUGAUGGGUAGCCGGCCUGAGAGGGUGAUCGGCCACACUGGAACUGAGACACGGUCCAGACUCCUACGGGAGGCUG